UACGGAGGGUGCAAGCGUUAUCCGGAUUUACUGGGUUUAAAGGGUGCGUAGGCGGACUUUUAAGUCAGUGGUGAAAUCCCCGAGCUUAACUCGGAAACUGCCAUUGAUACUAUUUGUCUUGAAUUCGGUCGAGGUUGGCGGAAUGUGUCGUGUAGCGGUGAAAUGCUUAGAUAUGACACAGAACACCGAUUGCGAAGGCAGCUAGCUAGACCGACAUUGACGCUGAGGCACGAAAGCGUGGGGAGUCAAACAGG
This 254-nucleotide ribosomal RNA is filed under the name uncultured bacterium. RNAcentral's name for it is "partial 16S ribosomal RNA". It matches the Rfam family "Bacterial small subunit ribosomal RNA", at positions 524 to 776 of the family's 1533-position model. The record is from RNAcentral.